Molecule: non-coding RNA, 384 nt
Organism: Schizosaccharomyces pombe (fission yeast)
Lineage: Eukaryota; Fungi; Ascomycota; Schizosaccharomycetes; Schizosaccharomycetales; Schizosaccharomycetaceae
Source: the annotation of a GenBank genome assembly
UACACGAAAAACUUCGCGAAUAGAACCAAUACCGAAGGGAUCGAUUUCAUUUGAAAUCUCAUCGCCUUCGGUGAUUUUUUUGUAAUGGAACUCCUCUCCUUUGAUAGAGUGUUCUUCGGAUGCGUCCCAAAAAUCUUCACUAUCCGUUUUCACAUCAAUGUACUUCAAGCGUUCAAAUAUCUUUUCAAGGAUAGAUGUCAUCGAUAAUUCAGCACUAUAGCGUAAAACUUGGGAAAGCCUAGACUGGCAACACAUACUGAGCCCUGUUUCAACAAUUUCGCAAAUAGAAUCAUCACUCAAAACAGCUUUUCCAGGACCUCUUAACAAUUCUUCCAUUAGCCUAGAAACUCGCAACAAUACAGCCUCAUCCUGUGAAGCAUCGAA